Non-coding RNA from Meleagris gallopavo (turkey), 3441 nucleotides. The record is from RefSeq and is a predicted model, not a curated record. Lineage: Eukaryota; Metazoa; Chordata; Aves; Galliformes; Phasianidae.
UUCCUAAUCUCCAUUUUUGUAGUAAAUAUCAGUUAGCACAGAACACUGUGGAGACUUCUACCCAUGGGCUUUGUGAAUCUUUUUCCAAUUACAUGAGAUGCAGUUUCAGGUAGGCUGCAUGAAAUUCACUAAUGAAAACUUCAAAUUAGUUACCCUUAAAUAAAUCAAAUAAUCUGUUAGCAGUUUUUCUUCCUUUGUGCUCUAUCGCUCCUCUAAUUCAUUAGAAUCAUCUUUUUUGGUGCCAAAGUUCUUUCACAUCCCUGAAAACACCCACCAAGACCUACCAGGAUGGUUGCACGUGCUGCUGAGUUUAUUACUGUUCCCAAUUUGGUGUUUGUGUGUCUUCUAGUGCACCAUAAUUGACAGAUUUGUAGAGUUGCCGUUGUUUGAUCGUUCUGUCUCUUACUUAUUUAGAGAAAAGGCACACUUACUUGUGAAGGCCACACAUGUGAGAAGUUCCAUCUUGUGUGGUACCAGAUGACAACUUCCUUGGGGAGGGGACUGCUUAACAGAAUGAGGGAUUUCUUUGGCAGAGGAAAUCUGACAAGAAAAAUAAUCUGUUUUCCAGUGACUCAACUUCCACUCAAAGACAAAACUGCCUUUCUGAAAUCCAGGUCAGCAAAUAGUGAGUUAUGCUCCUGAUGCCAAGGUAGCUGACAGCUGGGAACGGGAGGAGAUAAAGACUGUUACUGUGCCAUGGAACAAAUGGUUCUCUAAAAUUUACAGGACAACUUAUUCUGUCAGUUAAACUUCAUUUUACCUCACUAGGAAAGAAAACAAAUAAGCAUGACAAAAAAGUCUCAAUCCCCUCUAUACAGACUAUGUAGAUUCCCUAAUUCAGCAUUUAGAUUAUGUAGAUUCCCUAAUUCACCAUUUAGUUACUAAGGCUUCUGAUCUGCAAGUUCUCAAAUUCACAAUUUGCAAUUCAUUACUUGCCUGUGAGCAAAUAAUUAUCUUGCUGAUGGAAUAGCACUCCACCUUCCACUGUCACAAUGCAAGCAUCCCACCUGUCACAUGAGAAAGCAUGACAGCUGUCCAGCUACCCUUAGAUCUGCUUCAGAAGCUUUUUUGCUAGAGGUGUUUGUGAAAGUGGUUAUGAAGUACCUGAGGCGGUGUUUCUGUCCAGUGGGGGAUGCCCAGAGAGCCUGCCGAAAAACUCAGACAGACGCACCUGGACAUGCUGAAAUCCUUCCUGAGAGGUUCUGAUUCCCAUGAAGAAAGUAAUUGAAUCUGCACUAAGCAUACAAAUCUAUAGCUAUCUAUUACAUCCAGGCUUUUCAAGCAGAAUUGAAAAGAAGUGAAAGCUUCCAAACACUAGCCUAAGAAGUACUCAGAACUGAUAAAAGAAGUUAAUGGGUUGAAGGACAAGUGAACAUCCUCUGAAGUACUACAAGAUACUAACCACCACCCAUCAGAGGGCUGGGCCUAUCAGUCAGUGGCUUCUGCUGAGAAUUCAAUUGUGGUGCUUGCCAUCUGUUUCUCCACUUGCUUUUUGCUCCCUGUCAUCACGACUGACUUCUCAAGCUCAGCUAGCACAGUACCCCUUUACCAACUACUGUGAGAACUCAUCCUGAAUUUCUUAUUUUUUCACAGUCAAAAAAGUCCCCACCAAUCCAGCACUUCAUCUUUGCUACAGGUACUGACAUCUCCACUACCUACUUUAUCAUGCAGAAUCUUAGCUUCCCAGAUAAAUUAUUUCCCUUUUUCCUACCCAGUUCACCAGCCUUUAUUGCAACAACAGACCUGUUUCUUUCUUUCCACAUUUAGAUUAUAAACUUUUUUAUUCUCUCAUCAAAAUAUCACUAGAUUUUUUGCUACCCAAUUUUUUUCCUUUCUCAGUGACUGACACCCUGGUCUGAGUUUGGCUAUCAGACUGUGUGAGAUGAAAAAAAAACAAGUCUUGAUUGAAGGAGCUUGAGACUUAGAGUUCAGAAAAGGAUGCAAGUUAGUAAAAGUUAUGUGGAAGGAGAGGAAGCAAAGAAGGGAUCAAACUGUGAUUUUACCUCAGAAUCACUCUCCAAAGUGAAAAAAAUAAGAAAACCUAGACACAGACUGAGAUUGGUACUGAAUAAACAUAACAAUUAUUAUAUAUAUAUCUAUAUAUAUCUAUAUAUAUAUCUUUCUGCCACACAAGUAUACCAACAGGCAAAUUGUUUUAAAGCUACAAGGUUAUGCUUCGGAGAGUGUAACAAAAAUAAAAAUGGGGAGAACACCCAAUGUGCCAGUUUGUGGGGAAACUCAGCUUGUCCCACUGAUGUCUUAAGCUGUCAACAGGUACACUACAAACACACACAAAUCAUAUGGACACCACAUUUUAUAUAUUGCCUUUUGCUGUCAAAGGGAAAAGUGAAAUCACAAUGAGGCUCCCCAUCAUGAAUGAGGGGCAUUGAAGUAGCCUGCACAUUCCCUGGCAGUUCCACAUGACAUCAUAGGAUAGUUCAAGAUGGAUUUCAUGUUGACGUAAACCACUGUUUAAUUUCAGGAGUACAGGUAUCAAACAGCUCUUAGACUUGCUUCAUGGACAUUAAAAGAAAUGUUUACUUUUUCAGGCAAUUACUUAACUUUCCCAAUUAUCCAGAAAAAUGACCUCAUUGUAGCAUGGAAAUGUGCAUGGGAGGCUCUGUAAGUUACACAAACAUGGCUUUUAAAAAUAGAUAUGCAUCAGGAUUGAAACGGUCGAGUCCUGAACAUAGGUAUGUACACAGCAAAAGGAAAGUGAUCAUCUCCAUGGUUGAUACCACCCAAGCCUCACAAAACAUUUACAGGAACAAGUGUAUCUUCUUGAAGGAUUUAUAACUGCAUCUACCUUACUUGCAGGUAAUCAGGCGGAUGGAAUAACACAGGUAAAGAUUUUACACUGUGUCAAAUACAAACCUAUCCUUCCAAUUUCCUGCUGCAAUCAGACAGCUCUAUCUACACUGUGCUGGCCCUUUGCUCUGCAUUACCUUACCACCAUAAAGGUUUUGCUGAGAGCUGUGGGAUGCAACUUCAUCAGAUAAAAAAAAAAUCUAGGCUUAGCCUCUAAACUGAACAUAAAGAAAUAAUCCAGAGUUUUCCUUAAGUCCCUAUAACUUUAGAAAUGCUGUAGGUUGUAUUUGGUCUUUCCUCACUGCAGGUUUAGCAGAAAUACAGCUGUAAUAUUCCCUAUUCAAAACAUACUUUAGCAUCUCAUACAUUGUUUGAAAGGUUGGAUAGAGCUUCUGCAUUUACCAUCAACAUAAGAAUGAUUUGGAAAACCCCUUCUUGGACAAGGGAUAGAAGCUAUUCUAAAGUUAAGCAAAUGCUCGUCUAAAAUAAAAGGAUCCCGUCUGUGUGAGCUGUUCUAAGGUCAAGAAAUUGGCAGACAUUUCCUAAAAUUUUGUCCUUGCUUGCAACCCUCAAUCCUCAUUUCAGCUGUGUCCUUCCUUGUAAGUCUGGUAGGCUGAAUCUGUGCCAAUUAGG